RNAcentral lists this ribosomal RNA (465 nucleotides) under uncultured bacterium. RNAcentral's name for it is "partial 16S ribosomal RNA". It matches the Rfam family "Bacterial small subunit ribosomal RNA", at positions 28 to 507 of the family's 1533-position model. The record is from RNAcentral.
GAUGAACGCUGGCGGCGUGCUUAACACAUGCAAGUCGAACGGAAAGGCCCAAGCUUGCUUGGGUACUCGAGUGGCGAACGGGUGAGUAACACGUGGGUGAUCUGCCCUGCACUUCGGGAUAAACCUGGGAAACUGGGUCUAAUACCGGAUAGGACCACAUUUUGGAUGGUGUGGUGGAAAGUUUUUCGGUGUGGGAUGAGCUCGCGGCCUAUCAGCUUGUUGGUGGGGUAAUGGCCUACCAAGGCGUCGACGGGUAGCCGGCCUGAGAGGGUGUACGGCCACAUUGGGACUGAGAUACGGCCCAGACUCCUACGGGAGGCAGCAGUGGGGAAUAUUGCACAAUGGGCGCAAGCCUGAUGCAGCGACGCCGCGUGGGGGAUGACGGCCUUCGGGUUGUAAACUCCUUUCGCUAGGGACGAAGCGCAAGUGACGGUACCUGGAGAAGAAGCACCGGCUAACUACGUG